GAUGAACGCUAGCUACAGGCUUAACACAUGCAAGUCGAGGGGCAGCAUGACCUAGCAAUAGGUUGAUGGCGACCGGCGCACGGGUGAGUAACACGUAUCCAACCUACCGGUUAUUCCGGGAUAGCCUUUCGAAAGAAAGAUUAAUACCGGAUAGUAUAACGAGAAGGCAUCUUUUUGUUAUUAAAGAAUUUCGAUAACCGAUGGGGAUGCGUUCCAUUAGUUUGUUGGCGGGGUAACGGCCCACCAAGACAUCGAUGGAUAGGGGUUCUGAGAGGAAGGUCCCCCACAUUGGAACUGAGACACGGUCCAAACUCCUACGGGAGGCAGCAGUGAGGAAUAUUGGUCAAUGGACGAGAGUCUGAACCAGCCAAGUAGCGUGAAGGAUGACUGCCCUAUGGGUUGUAAACUUCUUUUAUAUGGGAAUAAAGUGAGCCACGUGUGGCUUUUUGUAUGUACCAUACGAACAAGGAUCGGCUAACUCCGUGCCAGCAGCCGCGGUAAUACGGAGGAUCCGAGCGUUAUCCGGAUUUAUUGGGUUUAAAGGGAGCGUAGGCGGACUAUUAAGUCAGCUGUGAAAGUUUGCGGCUCAACCGUAAAAUUGCAGUUGAUACUGGUCGUCUUGAGUGCAGUAGAGGUAGGCGGAAUUCGUGGUGUAGCGGUGAAAUGCUUAGAUAUCACGAAGAACUCCGAUUGCGAAGGCAGCUUACUGGACUGUAACUGACGCUGAUGCUCGAAAGUGUGGGUAUCAAACAGGAUUAGAUACCCUGGUAGUCCACACAGUAAACGAUGAAUACUCGCUGUUUGCGAUAUACGGCAAGCGGCCAAGCGAAAGCAU
This 835-nucleotide ribosomal RNA is filed under the name uncultured bacterium. RNAcentral describes it as "bacterial SSU rRNA". It matches the Rfam family "Bacterial small subunit ribosomal RNA", at positions 28 to 860 of the family's 1533-position model. The record is from RNAcentral.